RNAcentral lists this ribosomal RNA (253 nucleotides) under uncultured bacterium. Its description in RNAcentral is "partial 16S ribosomal RNA". It matches the Rfam family "Bacterial small subunit ribosomal RNA", at positions 524 to 776 of the family's 1533-position model. The record is from RNAcentral.
UACAGAGGGGGCAAGCGUUGUUCGGAAUUACUGGGCGUAAAGGGCGCGUAGGUGGCCUUCUAAGUUGAACGUGAAAUCCCUGGGCUCAACCCAGGAACUGCGUCCAAGACUGGGAGGCUUGAAUCCGGGAGAGGGAUGCGGAAUUCCAGGUGUAGAGGUGAAAUUCGUAGAUAUCAGGUGGAACACCAGUGGCGAAGGCGGCUUUCUGGACGAUAACUGACGCUGAGACGCGAAAGCGUGGGGAGCAAACAGG